This 424-nucleotide ribosomal RNA is filed under the name Palaestra sp. grII AR-2022a. Its description in RNAcentral is "partial large subunit ribosomal RNA". It matches the Rfam family "Archaeal large subunit ribosomal RNA", at positions 2026 to 2654 of the family's 2987-position model. The record is from RNAcentral. Lineage: Eukaryota; Metazoa; Arthropoda; Insecta; Coleoptera; Meloidae.
UACAAAGGUAGCAUAAUCAUUAGUUUUUUAAUUGAAAGCUGGAAUGAAUGGCCGAAUAAGGAAGUAACUGUCUCAUUUUGAUUUGUUAGAAUUUUAUUUUUGAGUUAAAAAGCUUAAAUUUUAUAAAAAGACGAGAAGACCCUAUAGAGUUUAAUAGAUUUAGGUUACUUAUAUUUAAGGUUUAUAUUUUAUUUGUAAAUUAGUCUAUUUUGUUGGGGUGACAACUGAAUUUACUGAACUUCUUGUUUUGAUAACAUUGAUUUAUGUAUAUAUGAUCCUGAUUUUUGGAUUAAAAGAUUAAAUUACCUUAGGGAUAACAGCGUAAUUUUUUUGGAGAGUUCUUAUCGAUAAGAAAGGUUGCGACCUCGAUGUUGGAUUAAAGUUUAUUGUUGGUGAAGAAGCUAAUAUAUUAAGACUGUUCGAC